UACGUAGGGUGCAAGCGUUAAUCGGAAUUACUGGGCGUAAAGCGUGCGCAGGCGGUUGUGCAAGACCGAUGUGAAAUCCCCGGGCUUAACCUGGGAAUGGCAUUGGUGACUGCACGGCUAGAGUGUGUCAGAGGGGGGUAGAAUUCCACGUGUGAGCAGUGAAAUGCGUAGAUAUGUGGAGGAACACCGGUGGCGAAGGCGGCUCACUGGCUCAUUACUGAGCUCAGGCGCGAUAGCGUGGGGAUCAAACAGG
Molecule: ribosomal RNA, 253 nt
Filed under: uncultured bacterium
Lineage: Bacteria
Description: partial 16S ribosomal RNA
Rfam family: Bacterial small subunit ribosomal RNA
Source: RNAcentral